CCCAACUAUCCCUAUUAAUCAUUACGUUGAUCCUAGAAACCAACAAAAUAGGAUCGAACGUCCUAUUUCAUUAUUCCAUGCUAAUGUAUUCAAGCUAAUGCCUGCUUUAAACACUCUAAUUUUUUCAAAGUAACAGUCCUAACUCCCCAUAACACCAAAUUAAUGACAUCAUGGUUCGUCAGAAAGGAGAAACCAAUAACGCCAGUGCGUACCAAAAAAGCACGACCGACGUAUUGAUCCCGAAAUUCAACUACGAGCUUUUUAACUGCAACAACUUUAAUAUACGCUAUUGGAGCUGGAAUUACCGCGGCUGCUGGCACCAGACUUGCCCUCCAA
RNAcentral lists this unclassified non-coding RNA (336 nucleotides) under uncultured Glomeraceae. Its description in RNAcentral is "sequence contains 18S rRNA gene". The record is from RNAcentral. Lineage: Eukaryota; Fungi; Glomeromycota; Glomeromycetes; Glomerales; Glomeraceae.